RNAcentral lists this long non-coding RNA (487 nucleotides) under Ananas comosus (pineapple). RNAcentral describes it as "long non-coding RNA (ACOM_LNC032220)". The record is from RNAcentral. Lineage: Eukaryota; Viridiplantae; Streptophyta; Magnoliopsida; Poales; Bromeliaceae.
CCUAAAAUGGCUACGAAAUUUUUCAUUACAACAAAAACGAUGCAUAGCGAUACUUUUAAAUGUCGGCAUAGAUUUAAAAGAAGUGUUGCUGGCUAAAUUACCGACACUUUUAAAAAGUAUUGCUGUAUGUGAGGUCGCUAUAUAUAUAUAUAUGGGGCCGCCUUGAUAUUUGGCACUUAAUUUUCUAGCGACUUGUGGCCGGGGAACACGUGACGAUCGUAGAACUCUAGCCGCCAGAACCGUAUCUCGUCAGCUGCGCCGGCGAAGGAGAAGAAAGGGAGAUGGUGAUUAUUUUUUUUUCCUUUUCUAUUUCUAAUCGGGUCGAAUGGGCUGGAUGAGAUUGGUUUAGUAGAGCAACUUUUUAUUUUUGAUUGGAUUUGACUUAUAUUUAAGGUUUAGUAGUAUUUUUUUAAAAAUUUUGACAUAAAUAAAAUACUUAUAAAAGAAUGUUUCAAAAAUACGUUUCUGUAAUUUAAUUCUGAUGUAG